UGAAGUAAGUAAGGGCGUACGGUGAAUGCCUUGGUGCCAACAGGCGAAGAAGGACGCGGCAAGCUGCGAAAAGCCUCGGGAAGCUGCAAGCAAGCGAUGAUCCGGGGAUAUCCGAAUGGGGUAACCUGAUCGAGGCAAUACUCGAUCGUUCAUACCUGAAUACAUAGGGUAUGAAACGCGAAACCCGCUGAAGUGAAACAUCUCAGUAAGCGGAGGAAAAGAAAGAGAAAUCGAUUCCGUAAGUAGUGGCGAGCGAAAGCGGAUGGAGCCCAAACCGAAGGUAUUCCUUCGGGGUUGUAGGACCACGUCAUAUUCGACCAUACUGGAUAGUAGAACAGCCUGGAAAGGCUGGCCGGAGAAGGUGAAAGCCCUGUAGACGAAAUCCAGAGUGGGAAUUAGUGGUAUCCUGAGUAAUACAUCACACGUGGAACGAUGUAUGAACCCGCGCGGACCACCGCGCAAGGCUAAAUACUAGUUGGCGACCGAUAGUGAACAAGUACCGCGAGGGAAAGGUGAAAAGAACCGCUGUGAGCGGAGUGAAAUAGAACCUGAAACCGUAUGUCUACAAAGUGUCAGAGCAGAGCAAUCUGCGAUGGCGUGCCUUUUGUUUAAUGAGUCUGCGAGUCAGUGUUUGUGGCAAGACUAAGGGCUUCCGGCCCGGAGUCGCAGCGAAAGCAAGUCCGAACAGGGCGCAAUAAGUCGCAGGUACUGGACCCGAAGCGGAGGUGACCUACCCUUGGCCAGGUUGAAGCAUGGGUAAAACCAUGUGGAGGACCGAACAGGUGAACGUUGAAAAGUUCUCUGAUGAGCUGAGGGUAGGAGUGAAAGGCUAAUCAAACCCCGUGAUAGCUGGUUCUCUUCGAAAUGCAUUUAGGUGCAGCGUCACGUGCUGAUGCGCGGGGGUAGAGCACUGACAAGGCUAGGGGGCACACCCGCUUACCAAACCUUAUCAAACUCCGAAUACCGUGCAAUGGAACGUGGCAGUGAGACAGUGGGGGAUAAGCUUCAUUGUCGAGAGGGAAACAACCCAGACCAGCAGCUAAGGUGCCUAAAUAACGCUCAGUGGAAAGGAUGUGGGAUUACACAGACAGUGAGGAUGUUGGCUUAGAAGCAGCCACCAUUUAAAAAAUGCGUAAUAGCUUACUCAUCGAGUGAUCCUGCGCCGAAAAUGAUUGGCGAUCAAGCGUUAUACCGAAGCUCUGGACUUUGCCGCAAGGCAGAGUGGUAGAAGAGCGUUGCAUGCGCGUCGAAGGGCGAUGGCGACUGACCCUGGAGCACAUGCAAGUGAGUAUGCAGACAUGAGUAACGUUAAGCCGGGUGAAAUCCCCGGCCGCCGUAAACCCGAGGUUUCCAGGGCAACGUGUUUCGUCCCUGGGUUAGCCGGGACCUAAGCCGAGGCCGAGAGGCGUAGGCGAUGGACAUCAGGUUAAUAAUCCUGAGCUCGCAACCCUUAAACUGGGGGGACGCAUGAGAAAAGAUGACUAGGUUAUUGAAUUCCGAGUUGAGUCCACGGACUCAGCGCAUCAUUGGAUCGAGUGCCAAGAAAAGCCCCAGCGUAUGCUAAGCGACCCGUACCGCAAACCGACACAGGUGGGUGGGUAGAAUAUACCAAGGCGUAAGAGUGAAACCUGGUUAAGGAACUCGGCAAAUUAGCCCCGUAACUUCGGAAGAAGGGGUGCCUGCAGCGAUGCAGGCCGCAGAGAAAUGGCCCAACCGACUGUUUAUCAAAAACACAGCACUCUGCAAAGACGCAAGUCGAAGUAUAGGGUGUGACACGUGACCAAUGCCGAAAGAUUAAGGCAAGGGGUUAGCCGCAAGGCGAAGCUCUAAACCCAAGUCCCGGUGAAUGUCGGCCGUAACUAUAACGGUCCUAAGGUAGCGAAAUUCCUUGUCGGGUAAGUUCCG
RNAcentral lists this ribosomal RNA (1905 nucleotides) under human gut metagenome. Its description in RNAcentral is "bacterial LSU rRNA". It matches the Rfam family "Bacterial large subunit ribosomal RNA", at positions 1 to 1985 of the family's 2925-position model. The record is from RNAcentral.